UACGAAGGGGGCAAGCGUUGUUCGGAUUUACUGGGCGUAAAGCGCACGUAGGCGGAUAUUUAAGUCAGAGGUGAAAUCCCAGGGCUCAACCUUGGAACUGCCUUUGAUACUGGAUGUCUUGAGUAUGGUAGAGGUGAGUGGAAUUCCGGGUGUAGAGGUAAAAUUCGUAGAUAUCCGGAGGAACACCAGUGGCGAAGGCGGCUUACUGGUCCAUUACUGACGCUGAGGUGCGAAAGCGUGGGGAGCAAACA
Molecule: ribosomal RNA, 251 nt
Filed under: uncultured Bartonella sp.
Lineage: Bacteria; Pseudomonadati; Pseudomonadota; Alphaproteobacteria; Hyphomicrobiales; Bartonellaceae
Description: partial 16S ribosomal RNA
Rfam family: Bacterial small subunit ribosomal RNA
Source: RNAcentral